UUUUUUAUAACUAACAAGAUAGAAGAGAGCCUGUCCGUUUCCAAUGGGGCAAAUUAAUCAUAGAGGGCAGAACAAGCAAUGAGGUUGGCAGAGCCAAGCACGAGCUAGCGAGAUCCUAUUGGCACGUUUUAGCAAAUAUUUUCAUAUAUCCGUUAGGGAACACCUUCUCUGUGAAGUGCGCGUGUGCAAUAACUUGCACUUAUUUUAAAGAACUCAAUUUGUUUUAAACUCUGGCAAACGGUAACGUCUACGAAACUUAGUCCACUCUGUUAGAAGCAGAUUUUGUUUUUGGAAACAGAAAACGGUAUUGAGAUCAAAUGUUUCAUCGAUGAGAAAAUUAGCAGAAUGUCAGCCAAAACCCAUCUCGCUUCAUCUUCUCCCACUGCCUGCCACUGUACUUUCAUCACCAUAUUUGGUAGUGAGUGGAAACGCCAACCGGAUGCUUCACAUUUAUACAGCUGGUGAAAUAUCUGUCUCAUUGCUCUGUCUGUGGUAUUACUCCUCUUUACAUGUAUAUAUUACCAAUAGUAUAUUACCAUAAGUAUUUAUAUGUUCCUACUACCAGUCACUUUUCAGCCCUGUUUAAAUAUAUAUCCGCCUAUCACGCCUACACUGACACACACUUUGUUCCUUAUUUAAAAAAAAGUGUUGUUUGUUUUUACUUUUGUUUUGUCUGUCAACCUUAAAGUCAACCAAAACGUUCAUUCUAUGGGGCUAAUGAUUUUGAGGAGAAUUUUGGCAAAUUGUAGGCAUUGUUUGAUUAUUGAUAUGCCCCGUAGUUUGCUAACGGUUGCCAUGGCAAUAGCUAAUGAUACGACUAGACGGCGAACUACUACUAGCUAGGUAACUCUCAAGGCCCUGAGUCUGAGGCAUUGCCCCAUCACAUUUCCGCCUCAAGAGGUUGCGCAGCAGGGCCUCCACUGCAUCGGUUAGCGUGCAGAACUCUCUUCCAGGUGAAUGAUAACGAUAACUGUAGUGUCACCUGAUGAAGUUGGACAAUGCGACGGCAAGGGGUUUGUGUGGUCUGCACCCUUCUGAACACGUCCACCGCCGUCUGUUAUUAUGCAUAAGAAAGGAAGGCUGGCCACCAAAAUAGCUCCUUGCCCUGGUUCCACUUCAGCGGUGUGACUCUGUUUCCUUUUUAGAUGGCACGUACAGCAGGCAGACUUUUUAUGCAGCUCUACACAUUCAUAUUUUUAGCCAGAUGAAAAUGAUCGAUAACCCAUGUGCUUCUAACAGAGGCACUUUGUCAUCCACCACUGGCUAGUAGUGCCUAUGGCUAAUCAGCAUGACUAGCCAAGUCACCCCUCAGAAGAAAGCCUACACCUAGAACAAAGACAUGCCCCCGGUGGAGAAGCUACAAUUGACAGAGCUUGUGAAGUCCAGUUUGGACCUCUGUGAAGAGGUGGUGUAUGAAGACGAGCAGCAGAGGUUCAGAGAACUGAGGCAGAAGAUGAUCCAAAUGGACAGAGCUGAGUUUGGCUAUGGCCUCCCUCUUUCACGCUUCUCUAGAGCAGCAGAGGGCUGAUACACCCCCUGCCCGUCAUUAAAAGAAAGAAAGAGAUUACCAGUGGAAAUAUAUUUCCAGAGGUCCCUCCGUUUGACAUGCAGUACUGGAAGAGGUCAGAGGAGAGAAGACUGGCUGCAAUGAACAAAGUAGGAAAGAUCAAGAGCUCCUCAAGAAAUGGCGUACUCAUGCUAGGAUCAUGCAGGAGAGGAACAUCUUAGAGCACAAGCAAGAAAGGUGUGAGCGACAUAUGAGAGGGGAGGUAUGACUGUUCUGUAUGUCUGCUUUCACUACCUUCUAAUUUUGUAAUCCACAAUUUUUUUCACAUACCUGAAGUGCACUUCUCAACCAGAAGAGGUCAACAUAACGCCAGCCUGAGGAAAGGGUUUCACAGUCAUUGGAAAGAGAAAAUUAGAAUUAGAAGAAUGCUUUCAGUUCUGUUCUUGUCCUAAGGAAACUGCCUCAGAGAAGUGGACAGAAAGAGACUGACUUGAGUCCUUGUUUCCAUUCUGGGUGAGCAGACGUUGAAAAAGAUGGCUGUGCAGGCUGUGCAGACACUAAGCUGAAGCUGUCCAGGUUGGAGAUAGCGACAGGCCUAGCUAGCGAUGGAGCACUGUCAGUCAUCCUGCAGUCAGAUGUCGCCAGGGAGGCCCCCCCCACAGCAGGGUGGCCAGAGACAGGGAGUUGGAGCAGUGUAUCAGGAGCCAUGUUCAGAUGAUGAAGGAGGCCCAGGGGCACUGGCCAAGAGGAGAUUGAAGCUGCAAGACAAGAUAUGGAGGAAGCCAAGAGGUUGCAGUCAGAACUCGCUGAGAGACAUCGAGUAUCGAUUCAUCGUGUUUACUGAGGAGAACUCUACUAUGACAAAUGAAAAUAUUUUUGAGUGUGUAGCCCUACUGCCAUUUUGAAUUGUUGCAAUAUUAAAUGAAUUUACAUUGCAUGUAAAAAUAGAAGUACAGGAGAGGGUAGUAUGGAAUUAUAGCACUCUACAAACACAGUUUCCUCAUUCACAAUGGUAUCCAAUAGCCAUUCAUCAAUAAACAUUUCAUAUUCUUACUUGA
Salmo salar (Atlantic salmon) is the source of this 2565-nucleotide non-coding RNA. The record is from RefSeq and is a predicted model, not a curated record. Lineage: Eukaryota; Metazoa; Chordata; Actinopteri; Salmoniformes; Salmonidae.